AGGUUAGAGCGAUGCAACAAGCAACAGAGCGUAAGAUUAACGAGUUAAACGAAGACAGAAAAAGGGCUAUAAACGAACAACGAAGUGCUCUGAAAAAUCAACACAGUGCGGAAAUGGCAAAUAUGAAAAAACACCAAGAUGAACUUGUCACUGAAAGAAACAACAAGAUGCAACAAUAUCAACAGAUGCAAAACAAUCUCAAUCAGCAAAUUCAGCAGGCCCAUGUACAAAUCCAGCAACUUCAAAACAGGCCUCGUAAGUAUCGAUUAUAUUUAACCCGUUUCGGUUUUCUGUUUUGCUACCCAGACACUUGAAAUUUGAAAACAGGAUUUAAUGAAUCAAAUAUAUGUUGACUUCCCCGAAGAUCGCAAUAGCGCCUGAAACCCCGAGGAACAAAGAACUUUGUCAAAGAAAUUUGAUGUAAAUUUCCUAUUUUCUCAAAUGAAAGAACUCUUUAAGCUGUAGUGUAACUUAUUUUUCAGUUUCUUGUUUUUAUGGUUUGUUCCCGAGAUAUUUCAGUUUGUUACCUCCGCCAGGAGGUUAUGUAAUCAUCUGGGUUUGUAUGUGUGUGUGUAUGUGUGUGUGUGUGUGUGUGUGUGUGCGUGUUUGUCUGUGAGCACGAUAACUCAAGAAAUACCAAACAUAUCCGUACGAAAUUUUGUGAGUGCAUUUCCCAUCGGCUAAGGAAGAACUGAUUAAAAUUUGGUUGAAUUUGGUUAAAAAUUGAAUGAGAAACAACAAAAGUUUGUCUUGCUUUUCCCGGUCAAUUAAAUAAAACUUAUACUGAAUGCGUAAUUAGGACGUGCAUAAUAUAUGCACAAGCCAUUCAAAUUCUAAUAACAAUAGAUUACUUCAAUAUUUUGCGCGUAGGCGGAGGUAUGCAGUCUCUGAGUGCCCUCUAGUUUGAUAUGUAAAUGAGUGUGAAUAUGUCCGCUAAUUUAUGGAGUCAUAUUGGUUGCAAGCUCGACUUACACUGGUUACCUCCGCCAGGAGGUUAUGUAAUCAUCGGGGUUUGUUACCUCCGCCAGGAGGUUAUGUAAUCAUCUGGGUUUGUAUGUGUGUAUGUGUGUGUGUGUAUGUGUGUGUGUUUGUCUGUGAGCACGAUAACUCAAGAAAUACCAAACAUAUUCAUACAAAAUUUUUUGAAUGCAUUUCCCAUCGGCUAAGGAAGAACUGAUUAAAAUUUGGUUGAAUUUGGUUAAAAAUUGAACGAGAAAUGAUCAAAAUUUUGUCUUGCUUUUCCCGGUCAAUUAACAAAAAUAUUACUGAAUGCGUAAUUAGGACGUGUAUAAUUUAUGCACGCAGUACUAAGACAAUAAUGAGAUGAUAAACCUCAUUAAGCUUCGGCCUUCAUUACCUAUUGUCUUAGUUGCAUUUCAAGCGACCGAAAUUCAAUGUCUAAAACAAGGCUUACGGAGUUACGCAUUAUUACGUUCAGCAAAGUGCCAGUCCAUUCAAAUUCUAACAACAUUUAACAACAUUAGAUUACUUCAAUACAGGGUGUAUAAAAAAAACGCAAUCUCGGAAUUUCCCAAGAAAUCGACAUUGUUUUAAAGACAAAAGAUUUUAGCUGCCUGGGAAUUUAAAAUAGCACAACUGUGAAAAUUACUGCACGCGCGAGUGCAUAAAGCAAAAUUUAUGCAUUUAUUUAAUGACACUUAAUAAGUUUUUAUUUUACAAGUAGUGUACAGUACAACAACAGUAAUAUGAUCUAUUAGCAAUUCGAUUUCAAUUCGCGGGGGCCUAAAAUCUUUUAUGCUUAAGAAUUAUAAAGUGGAUUUCUUAGGAAAUUCCAAGGUUGCGUAUCACUUCCGAGUAACGGGCGGAGGUAUGCAGUCUCUGAGUGCCCUCUAGUUACCUCCGCCAGGAGGUUAUGUAAUCAUCUGGGUUUGUAUGUGUGUGUGUAUGUGUGUGUGUGUGUAUGUGUGUGUGUGUGUUUGUCUGUGAGCACGAUAACUCAAGAAAUACCAAACAUAUCCGUACGAAAUUUUUUGAAUGCAUUUCCCAUCGGCUAAGGGAGAACUGAUUAAAAUUUGGUUGAAUUUGGUUAAAAAUUGAACGAGAAAUGAACAAAAUUUUGUCUUGCUUUUCCCGGUCAAUUAACAAAAAAUAUUACUGAAUGCGUAAUUAGGACGUGUAUAAUUUAUGCACUCAGUGCUAAGACAAUAAUGAGAUGAUAAACCUCAUUAAGCUUCGGCCUUCAUUAUCUAUUGUCUUAGUUGCAUUUCACGCGACCGAAAUUCAAUGUCUAAAACAAGGCUUACGGAGUUACGCAUUAUUACGUUCAGCAAAGUGCCAGCCAUUCAAAUUCUAACAACAUUAGAUUACUUCAAUACAGGGUGUAUAAAAAGAACGCAACCUCGGAAUUUCCCAAGAAAUCGACAUUGUUUUAAAGACAAAAGAUUUUAGCUGCCUGGGAAUUUAAAAUAGCACAACUGUGAAAAUUACUGCACGCGCGAGUGCAUAAAGCAAAAUUUAUGCAUUUAUUUAAUGACACUUAAUAAGUUUUUAUUUUACAAGUACUGUACAGUGCAACAACAGUAAUAUGUUCUAUUAGUUCAAAUUUGUGCGGAUUUCUAUUGUUCUCAGUCGGGUUUUAUUUGGGUAAGAUUCUUAAAGCAAGGGGAGGGAUUUGAUAUCUCUCCAGGGAAAAGUGGGGUUGAUGAAUAGAAUUGAAUUAAUAAUUAUAAAUUCACGGGUUUUAUCUAUAUAAAACCCGGCUUUAUAUAGAUAAAACCCUAGGAAAGCCGGGUUUUAUACAGAUAAACCCCGAUGCAGAAAUGCACCGACUUACUGCUUUUACACACACUACAAUCAAAACAUUACAAAAGUUAAUAAUUACACUGACAAUGUACCGUAUACUAUACAUGUACCAGUUGUUCCACUCUGUCCCUAACACGCUAUAGCUAUAUAUUUCGUACGAUAAAACUCAAACUCAAAUUGUUCAAAUUAAUAGAAGUUAAAAAGAACUUCCCUCCGGCAUUUCUAGCCGUGCUCUCUUCCUUUCCAUAUGUUUAUGCUGCAUCUCUUCCUUCGUAGAAUUUCUCUUCUCAGCCAUCGGCAUCAGGUCUUCACUCGCACUGUUAACUUUGCAGCCCCUGCUAACGCGACAAUACAAAGAUUUUGAUAUUUCAAUCAGUUUUGUUUUAAUAUCGGGUCUUUCAUAUUUCUGCAACGAUCUUAUGUCGCGAUGACCAGUCCAUCCUUUUGCGGUAUAAAGAUAUCUUCGUCGCUGUUUGUGUCGUUCAUAGUUUAACCACCGCUCAUUCUUCAUGCAUGCAUACAUACAUAACUGAAGAAAAUGGUUCAUCUACAUGUCUAGCUAAAUUUCUAUAUGAAUUUACAGUAUGCUGUACGAACAAUAAUUUAGAAUAUUAAUUCAUUUCCCUAGUUAAUUAACAAAAUAUGACUGCUAUAAGUGUUAAUGAAGUACACAAAUCAUAUAGAAUGCUUUAACGUAUACAGACAAAAGAAAAUUUAUAAAGCGUGACUUUCCUUAAUUUCCUUUUGUUGUACCUUGUGCAUACACUUGACCAUUCACUGAUUUCCUUGUUCUGCCUUGUAAUAAUUUUAGUUUAUGCUUAUACUGUACAUGCAUGUACCUUUGAAUUCCUUAAUGAGUAGUGGGCGUAAGUAUGAUCAUUUUUUAAAAUCCUUACAAAUUUGAACUAAGUCAGUUAAUUACCUCGAACGUCGGUUUCUUAGCGAGAUACAUCCCUCGGGAGUGUUGCCCUCAGAAAGCAUCACUCGGGCCUACGGCCCUCGGGAUGCUUUCUUCGGGACACGCCCCUCGGGUUGUAUCUCGCUAAGAAACCUCGUUCUCGGUAAUUAACUCUUACUUAGCAAUUCAAUUUCAAUUCGCGGGGGCCUGAAAUCUUUUAUGCUUAAGAAUUAUAAAGUGGAUUUCUUAGGAAAUUCCAAGGUUGCGUUUCACUUCCGAGUAACGGGCGGAGGUAUGCAGUCUCUGAGUGCCCUCUAGUUAUAAAUGUAUUAACUCUAAAAACUGUUGACAUAAGUUCAAGUUUUUCUCCAGUUAUUCAUCACAUUUACCAGUGAGUGAAGUUUGAAAUUAUUAUCCUGGAUGAUAGCAGUGAUAUUCAACCAUUUUGAAGAGCUUGUAACCAACAUGACGUCAUAAAUUAGCGGACAUAUUCACAUCAUUUACAUAUCAAACAAUUUGAAAUAUCUCGGGAACAAACCAUAAAAAGAAGAAACUGAAAAAUAAGUUACACUAUACAGCUUAAAGAGUUCUUUCAUUUGAGAAAAUAAGAAAUUUCAUGUGAUAUACACUUUAAGCGAGAACGUGAUUACAGUCAAAAUACAAGAACCUUCCCACUUCCGCUAUUGUUGUAAUUUUCUGUAAAUUGUUCUGUUUUUCUGUAGCGAUUACCAAAUUAUCAACAAAUAUGGCGACAAACUUUACUUUACUUUGUUUUUGUUUGAUAAUUUCUGGCGAAGGAUGCAUUUUUCGUUAUAUUCGCUGCAUUUUAGCACAUAAAAUCUGCGUAUUUAUCUAUAAAUCGGUAACCAUUACAGUAUACAGUACAGUACAAUAUCAACAGAUUACAGAAGCGGAAGUGGGAAAGCUCUUGUAUUUUGACUGUAAAUUUUCUCUACUUUAAUAUUUCAAGUGUUGAGAACUGAUUAUGAAGCCAUUUGUUUGCACAUCAUAAGUCCGUUUUGUUGUGCUCCCAUGAGAUGUGGGUUUGCAGAUGUACGGAAUUCCACCAGGGCCCCCUGGUUAUUUAUCCACCUAAAAUUGUAUGUAAAUUUAACCAGGAUCACGUCAUGCAUCGUUAAACAUAUAUAGCCAGAUUAUUGGUUACGUUAACUACACAUUUUGUUUAUGUUGCAGCUGUGGUUAUUCAUGAAGAAAGAGGAGGUAUUUGUUCUGUCAUGUGAGGUGAAAAAGGCUGAAAAUUCAUAGGCGUAACUUAUAGUCAAUAUUAGCAUAUCGACCAACUUCAACUGGAAAUCUAUGUGCAGAUAUCCUAAACCUUGUAACCGCUUGGCGGUGUUUUACAUUUCUGACCGAAAACAAAUAACUUUCAACAUGCCAACUUGGUUUUACAAGGUUUAAGAUUCGUAAUUUGUUGCACUGUUGAAUCUGAUCUUUCCAUAUGGUAUUAUAUCCAGUGCUGCAAAAUUACCGUCCAAAAAGGAAUUAAUUACAAAUAAAAUUACUGUCUUUAAAAUGUAAUAAAUUACUGAUAACAAUUACUUCUUCAGGAAAGUAAUUAAUUACAAUGUGAUUAGAAGCGAACUUUCUCUAAGCCUCAUUUAACUGUAAUAAUUUUGUUUUUAGUAACGACCAGAAGGGUUUCUUUGUAACAAAUUUAAUAAAUUGUAACAACGUUUCGGAGUUUACUCCAUCAUCAGGUUACAUUUAUACGCACUAAAAAAACCCAGUUUUUUUUUAAGUGCGUAUAAAUGUAACCUGAUGAUGGAGUAAACUCCAAAACGUUGUUACAAUUUAUUAAAUUUGUUAUAAAAGAGCCUUCUGGUCGUUACUAAAAACAAAAAUAAUUAAUUACAGUAACAAAAUUACCAUUUAGAAAUGUAAUUAAUUACAAAUUACACAGUCGUGAUUUUGUAAUGUCCAGUGUUCGCAAAGUGAAGAAAAACGAUUGAACAACUCAACGGUUAUACACCCAUCAAUUAUAAUGUUUUGAAUCUAUUUCAAAACUUAAAGUUUAUACGGUAUAUAUACGGU
Molecule: long non-coding RNA, 5713 nt
Filed under: Paramuricea clavata
Lineage: Eukaryota; Metazoa; Cnidaria; Anthozoa; Malacalcyonacea; Plexauridae
Source: RNAcentral